Molecule: long non-coding RNA, 369 nt
Organism: Arachis duranensis
Lineage: Eukaryota; Viridiplantae; Streptophyta; Magnoliopsida; Fabales; Fabaceae
Exons: 2
Source: RefSeq, a predicted model, not a curated record
UUUGUUUAUGUGGUGCGGAAGAGAAUCAAGCUGAGUCCAGAAAAGGCUAUCUUCAUUUUUGUGAAGAACAUUUUGCCACCAACUGCGGCUAUUAUGUCUGCGAUUUAUGAGGAAAAUAAGGAUGAAGAUGGAUUCUUGUACAUGACUUACAGUGGGGAAAAUACAUUUGGUGUGAUAAUCUGAAAUCAACUAAUGGAGAGAGGCAAACCAUGUGAAUAGAACUUCCUAAAAAGUCGCCCAAUGUGAAGGAGGUGGCAUAAUUGUAAAUUCUCUGGGUUGAAUCGUUUCAUGUAAAGUUUUAUUAUUAAACUUAAUUUGGUGAUAAUGGUAUGUGUACUCCAGCUUAUUUGAAAAACUGCCUUAUGAUUA